GGGCAGCAGGCCAGGGAGUGCUGGCCCUCUGAUCGCCCAGCGGAUACCCUGGCUGGCUGACACGGCAAUGUUGCUAUGUGCAGAGAGCCCUUCUGUAUUACAUGGAGAAAGAGAAAUGGGGGGGGGGGGGUUCCGGGGGACAAAAGAAAGGCCGGUGGUUCCACUCAGUCUACGACUUCCUAUGCGGUGUGGUCCUUACAGAAAGGGACAUGCAGGGCGGGUCCCACACACUUCAGAACCUUAUGCUUGACCUGAGCAAGUGACAUCUCCUCAGACUCUUGGUUGUCACGCCUGUAAAAGGCAACGGGCACGGUGCCAGCCCUCUCGGCUGUGCCGUGAUGACAUGGAAGUCCUCGUGACUGUGGUGCAGCUUAUUUGCUGGUGGACGUGCGUGGGUUCUGUUUCCCUCGCCUCUGAGGCCUUCAGCCCACAGCUCACCUCCUGGGCACUCAGUUGCCAAUUGCUCUGACCGCAGACACGUGAGGCCAGCUGGGAGAGCUGCAUGUAAGGGAUGCCCAGAUGUGCUGGCACUGCUUGGGGAGGGAAUACGAGUGGAGCAACGCUGACGGCAGCCUUCAUGGAGGAGACGCAGCCCCAGAGAGAAAGAGAGGGAGAGAAGGCCAUGGCGGGGUGAUGGGGACACUCUGACCAUGGCGGCGUCCACCGCACUGGAGAUGCUCCUGCAGUGACGUGUCCGUCCGUCCGUCUGUCAGGGAGGGCUGGCUGACAGCCUGUGCCGUGGAAGCGCUCCUGCCCAUCAGCCACAGGCACCCACUCUGUGGAGAACGACCCUCGGCCUCACCCAGGAACUGGGGUGCCUCCCCCUCGAGCCCCCGCACCCUCCUUCCGUGACCCUUCCAGAGGGUCCUCCGGGACCUGUGGGGGAAAAUGGCGGCUCCAGCAGGUGCAGGAGGCGGGGAGGGGGGUGCCCCUCCCCGGGUGAGGUCCUGGGUGGCGCCUGGCCACUCCCCGCCCCGGGAGCCUAGGCCCAGCACUCACAUGGGCCCCUGUGAUCCCAAGGGGAAGGAGCCACACAUGGCAAGCUCUCCGAGGGGCACCCGGGGCCUGGCCAAGGGGCUCAGAGGCUAUGCAGGGUCUGCAACGAUGGCACCAGUGAGGUCAAAGGGCAGGACUUCUCCAGGGGGCCCCCAACCUAGGGUGAGUAACUGCAAAGCGGAAAGAAACUUCCCCAAACUGCCAGUGAACGCUGCCGCCCGUGGCCUGAGGCUGAGCUGGGGCCCGUCCUCUCCAUCCACGGAGUGGCCCCCGGGCAGAGCGGUGCCAGCCGGGCCUCUGCACUUGACAACCUUCUGCAUCUCGACACACGGCUUUAAAACGCUGGUAAUAUGCUGCCUCUUCUUUCCACAUUCUAAAUGGAUACUCAGAGUCACAGGUCGGUCUGUUGUGGCAAUUUUGUAUAUUUUUCCCAGAGAAAGCACCUCUGAUUGUAUAAGCUCCAGCCCCACAGGCAAGGCCACCUUCUAACUGUCGCCUGGAGGAGGACGCCCCAGGCG
RNAcentral lists this long non-coding RNA (1514 nucleotides) under Equus caballus (horse). RNAcentral's name for it is "lncRNA (ENSECAG00000053675.1)". The record is from RNAcentral. Lineage: Eukaryota; Metazoa; Chordata; Mammalia; Perissodactyla; Equidae.